UGGGGAGUAUUGGACAAUGGGCGAAAGCCUGAUCCAGCCACGCCGCAUGAGUGAAGAAGGCCUUUGGGUUGUAAAGCUCUUUUAGUGAGGAAGAUAAUGACGGUACUCACAGAAGAAGUCCUGGCUAACUCCGUGCCAGCAGCCGCGGUAAUACGGAGAGGGCUAGCGUUAUUCGGAAUUAUUGGGCGUAAAGGGCGCGUAGGCUGGUUAGUAAGUUAAAAGUGAAAUCCCGAGGCUUAACCUUGGAACUGCUUUUAAAACUGCUAACCUAGAGAUUGAAAGAGGAUAGAGGAAUUCCUAGUGUAGAGGUGAAAUUCGUAAAUAUUAGGAGGAACACCAGUGGCGAAGGCGUCUAUCUGGUUCAAAUCUGACGCUGAGGCGCGAAGGCGUGGGGAGCAAACA
RNAcentral lists this ribosomal RNA (402 nucleotides) under uncultured bacterium. RNAcentral's name for it is "bacterial SSU rRNA". It matches the Rfam family "Bacterial small subunit ribosomal RNA", at positions 355 to 774 of the family's 1533-position model. The record is from RNAcentral.